This 905-nucleotide ribosomal RNA is filed under the name uncultured Sulfurospirillum sp. RNAcentral describes it as "bacterial SSU rRNA". It matches the Rfam family "Bacterial small subunit ribosomal RNA", at positions 387 to 1308 of the family's 1533-position model. The record is from RNAcentral. Lineage: Bacteria; Pseudomonadati; Campylobacterota; Epsilonproteobacteria; Campylobacterales; Sulfurospirillaceae.
UGCAGCAACGCCGCGUGGAGGAUGACGCAUUUCGGUGUGUAAACUCCUUUUAUAAGGGAAGAUAAUGACGGUACCUUAUGAAUAAGCACCGGCUAACUCCGUGCCAGCAGCCGCGGUAAUACGGAGGGUGCAAGCGUUACUCGGAAUCACUGGGCGUAAAGGAUGCGUAGGCUGGAAAUCAAGUCGAGAGUGAAAUCCAACGGCUCAACCGUUGAACUGCUCUCGAAACUGGUUACCUAGAAUAUGGGAGAGGUAGAUGGAAUUGGUGGUGUAGGGGUAAAAUCCGUAGAUAUCACCAGGAAUACCGAUUGCGAAGGCGAUCUACUGGAACAUUAUUGACGCUGAGGCAUGAAAGCGUGGGGAGCAAACAGGAUUAGAUACCCUGGUAGUCCACGCCCUAAACGAUGCACACUAGUUGUUGCGAUGCUAGUCAUUGCAGUAAUGCACUUAACAGAUUAAGUGUGCCGCCUGGGGAGUACGGUCGCAAGAUUAAAACUCAAAGGAAUAGACGGGGACCCGCACAAGCGGUGGAGCAUGUGGUUUAAUUCGAAGAUACACGAAGAACCUUACCUGGCCUUGAUAUCCUAAGAAUCCUUUAGAGAUAAGGGAGUGCUAGUUUACUAUAACUUAGAGACAGGUGCUGCACGGCUGUCGUCAGCUCGUGUCGUGAGAUGUUGGGUUAAGUCCCGCAACGAGCGCAACCCUCGUGAUUAGUUGCUAACAGUUCGGCUGAGCACUCUAAUCAGACUGCCUUCGCAAGGAGGAGGAAGGUGAGGACGACGUCAAGUCAUCAUGGCCCUUAUGGCCAGGGCUACACACGUGCUACAAUGGCUAGGACAAAGAGACGCGAUACUGCGAAGUGGAGCAAAUCUUAAAACCUAGUCUCAGUUCGGAUUGGAGUCUGC